AUACCUUUCUCGGCCUUUUGGCUAAGAUCAAGUGUAGUAUCUGUUCUUAUCAGUUUAAUAUCUGAUAUGUGGGCCAUAGGUCCACACGAUAUUAAAUUUAUUUUUUAAGGGGGAAGUCCCACCACAAUAGCUUGCUAUUGGGGUCUUCGCGUGUCGCCCAAGUGUUGCACUACUGCUCGGGCCUGGCACACCCCAC
Daucus carota subsp. sativus is the source of this 196-nucleotide non-coding RNA. NCBI's taxonomy places the organism in Eukaryota, Viridiplantae, Streptophyta, Magnoliopsida, Apiales, Apiaceae. The record is from Rfam.